UGGGGAAUUUUGGACAAUGGGCGAAAGCCUGAUCCAGCAAUGCCGCGUGUGUGAAGAAGGCCUUCGGGUUGUAAAGCACUUUUGUCCGGAAAGAAAUCCUUGGCUCUAAUACAGUCGGGGGAUGACGGUACCGGAAGAAUAAGCACCGGCUAACUACGUGCCAGCAGCCGCGGUAAUACGUAGGGUGCAAGCGUUAAUCGGAAUUACUGGGCGUAAAGCGUGCGCAGGCGGUUUGCUAAGACCGAUGUGAAAUCCCCGGGCUCAACCUGGGAACUGCAUUGGUGACUGGCAGGCUAGAGUAUGGCAGAGGGGGGUAGAAUUCCACGUGUAGCAGUGAAAUGCGUAGAGAUGUGGAGGAAUACCGAUGGCGAAGGCAGCCCCCUGGGCCAAAUACUGACGCUCAUGCACGAAAGCGUGGGGGAGCAAAACAGGAUUAGAUACCCUGGUAGUCCACGCCCUAAAACGAUGUCAACUAGUUGUUGGGGAUUCAUUUCCUUAGUAACGUAGCUAACGCGUGAAGUUGACCGCCUGGGGAGUACGGUCGCAAGAUUAAAACUCAAAUGAAUUGACGGGGUCAUAGCUGUUUCCU
This 589-nucleotide ribosomal RNA is filed under the name uncultured bacterium. RNAcentral describes it as "partial 16S ribosomal RNA". It matches the Rfam family "Bacterial small subunit ribosomal RNA", at positions 355 to 1375 of the family's 1533-position model. The record is from RNAcentral.